Molecule: ribosomal RNA, 331 nt
Filed under: uncultured bacterium
Lineage: Bacteria
Description: partial 16S ribosomal RNA
Rfam family: Bacterial small subunit ribosomal RNA
Source: RNAcentral
CCUACGGGAGGCAGCAGUAGGGAAUAUUGCUCAAUGGGGGAAACCCUGAAGCAGCAACGCCGCGUGGAGGAUGAAGGUUUUAGGAUUGUAAACUCCUUUUGUUAGAGAAGAUAAUGACGGUAUCUAACGAAUAAGCACCGGCUAAAUCCGUGCCAGCAGCCGCGGUAAUACGGAGGGUGCAAACGUUACUCGGAAUCACUGGGCGUAAAGCGCGCGUAGGCGGGAUAGCAAGGCAGGUGUGAAAUUCUAUGGCUUAAACACAGAACUGCCUUUUAAACUGUUAGUCUAGAGGAUGAGAGAGGUAAGUGGUAUUGUAGGGUGAAGGGGACAA